ACGGGUGAGUAACGCGUGAGUAACCUGCCUUUCANAGGGGGAUAACGUUACUGAAAAGAAACGCUAAUACCGCAUAACAUCAAUUUAUCGCAUGAUAGGUUGAUCAAAGGAGCAAUCCGCUGGAAGAUGGACUCGCGUCCGAUUAGCCAGUUGGCGGGGUAACGGCCCACCAAAGCGACGAUCGGUAGCCGGACUGAGAGGUUGAACGGCCACAUUGGGACUGAGACACGGCCCAGACUCCUACGGGAGGCAGCAUG
RNAcentral lists this ribosomal RNA (257 nucleotides) under uncultured bacterium. Its description in RNAcentral is "partial 16S ribosomal RNA". It matches the Rfam family "Bacterial small subunit ribosomal RNA", at positions 102 to 353 of the family's 1533-position model. The record is from RNAcentral.